CCUGGUGGCUCAGAUGGUAAAGAAUCUGCCUGGAACGCAGGAGACCUGGGUUCAAUCCCUGCGUUGGGA
Molecule: transfer RNA, 69 nt
Filed under: Bos taurus (domestic cattle)
Lineage: Eukaryota; Metazoa; Chordata; Mammalia; Artiodactyla; Bovidae
Also listed under: 1 other name
Rfam family: tRNA
About the family: Transfer RNA (tRNA) molecules are approximately 80 nucleotides in length.
Source: Rfam by way of RNAcentral